This 917-nucleotide ribosomal RNA is filed under the name uncultured bacterium. RNAcentral describes it as "bacterial SSU rRNA". It matches the Rfam family "Bacterial small subunit ribosomal RNA", at positions 8 to 943 of the family's 1533-position model. The record is from RNAcentral.
AGAGUUUGAUCCUGGCUCAGGACGAACGCUGGCGGCGUGCUUAGCACAUGCAAGUCGAGCGAUGAAACACCUUCGGGUGUGAAUUAGCGGCGAACGGGUGAGGAACACGUGAAGAAUCUGCCUUCAACUCUGGGAUAACUCCGGGAAACCGGGGCUAAUACCGGAUAUGAGCCUCGAUCGCAUGAUUGGGGCUGGAAAGUUUUUCGGUUGAAGAUGACUUCGCGGCCUAUCAGCUUGUUGGUGAGGUAAUGGCUCACCAAGGCGACGACGGGUAGCCGGCCUGAGAGGGCGACCGGCCACACUGGGACUGAGACACGGCCCAGACUCCUACGGGAGGCAGCAGUGGGGAAUAUUGGGCAAUGGAGGAAACUCUGACCCAGCGACGCCGCGUGAGGGAUGAAGGCCUUCGGGUUGUAAACCUCUUUCAGUAGGGAAGAAGCGAAAGUGACGGUACCUACAGAAGAAGCACCGGCUAACUAUGUGCCAGCAGCCGCGGUAAUACAUAGGGUGCAAGCGUUGUCCGGAAUUAUUGGGCGUAAAGAGCUCGUAGGUGGUUCGAUACGUCGGAUGUGAAAAUCAGGGGCUCAACCCCUGACCUGCAUCCGAUACGGUCGAGCUAGAGUUUGGUAGGGGAGACUGGAAUUCCUGGUGUAGCGGUGGAAUGCGCAGAUAUCAGGAGGAACACCGAUGGCGAAGGCAGGUCUCUGGGCCAAUACUGACACUGAGGAGCGAAAGCGUGGGGAGCGAACAGGAUUAGAUACCCUGGUAGUCCACGCCGUAAACGGUGGGCGCUAGUUGUGCGAACCUUCCACGGUUUGUGCGACGCAGCUAACGCAUUAAGCGCCCCGCCUGGGGAGUACGAUCGCAGAUUAAAACUCAAGGAAUUGACGGGGCCCGCACAAGCAGCGGAGCAUGCG